UAGAAUAUAGUGUAAGGGUAGCACGGGGAAUUUUGAAUUCUUUAGAUUAGGUUCAAUUCCUAUUUUUCUAG
Molecule: transfer RNA, 71 nt
Filed under: Geocapromys ingrahami (Bahamian hutia)
Lineage: Eukaryota; Metazoa; Chordata; Mammalia; Rodentia; Capromyidae
Description: tRNA-Gln
Rfam family: tRNA
About the family: Transfer RNA (tRNA) molecules are approximately 80 nucleotides in length. Their secondary structure includes four short double-helical elements and three loops (D, anti-codon, and T loops).
Source: RNAcentral